Molecule: unclassified non-coding RNA, 419 nt
Filed under: Hevea brasiliensis (rubber tree)
Lineage: Eukaryota; Viridiplantae; Streptophyta; Magnoliopsida; Malpighiales; Euphorbiaceae
Source: RNAcentral
GAACUUAUGUUUUCUGAUUAUAUGAUAUGAUAGUCAUAUGUCCUUUUGUCAGACCAUUAGCUAAUAUCACUUGCAUUAUUUUUUUAUUAUCAUUGUUGUAACUUUACUUCAAAACCAAAUUCUAGUGCUAGAUGUGUACUUUUAGAAAAGCAAAUGCUACAAUUAGAUAAUAUGGCACUGGCACGUAUUGAUAAUUUCUAUUCUGUCAUGUGUCAAGCUGGUUUUGAAAAGUUUUGUAGUAAAUGGUGCUUGUCUUCUUUUGGGGUUUUUGUCUUGAAUUUUUUAGGAGUUGAAGAAGCUUCUUUACUGUGUUCAAGGUGCCAUCAGAUGGAGAGAGGAGGGUGGGGCUAAAUUUAAGCUUGUGGAAAUCGUCCUCCCCUCCUCCUUCCAACUGAAAUAAAAAAUAAAAAUAAAUAAAU